This 77-nucleotide transfer RNA is filed under the name Bacillota bacterium. Its description in RNAcentral is "tRNA-Arg". It matches the Rfam family "tRNA". From Rfam's summary of the family: Transfer RNA (tRNA) molecules are approximately 80 nucleotides in length. Their secondary structure includes four short double-helical elements and three loops (D, anti-codon, and T loops). Lineage: Bacteria; Bacillati; Bacillota. RNAcentral also lists the same sequence under 1 other name. The record is from RNAcentral.
GCGCCCGUAGCUCAGGGGAAUAGAGCGGCUGCCUUCUAAGCAGCGGGUCGCGGGUUCGAAUCCUGCCGGGCGCGCCA